GACGAACGUCUCGGCGGGCGGUGCCUAACACAGUGCAAGUCGAACGAGAAGUCGUAUGACGGAGGCUUCGGCCAACUGAUUACGAGGAAAGUGGCGGACGGGUGAGUAACGCGUGAGCAACCUGCCUUGGAGUGGGGGACAACAGAGGGAAACUUCUGCUAAUACCGCAUAAAGUGCUUUGGGGGCAUCCCCGAAGUACCAAAGCUUUAUGUGCUCUGAGAUGGGCUCGCGUCUGAUUAGCUAGUUGGUGGGGUAAUGGCCUACCAAGGCGAUGAUCAGUAGCCGGUCUGAGAGGAUGAACGGCCACAUUGGGACUGAGACACGGCCCAG
Molecule: ribosomal RNA, 330 nt
Filed under: uncultured bacterium
Lineage: Bacteria
Description: bacterial SSU rRNA
Rfam family: Bacterial small subunit ribosomal RNA
Source: RNAcentral